UACGUAGGUGGCAAGCGUUUGUCCGGAAUUACUGGGCGUAAAGCGUGCGCAGGCGGUUCGUUGUGUCGGCGGUGAAAGCCCCGGGCUUAACCUGGGAAUGGCCGUUGAAACUGGCGAACUGGAGUGUGGCAGAGGGGGGGUGGAAUUCCGGCGUGUAGCAGUGAAAUGCGUAGAGAUGCGGAGGAACACCGAUGGCGAAGGCAGCCCCCCUGGGCUAACACUGACGCUCAGGCACGAAAGCGUGGGGAGCAAACAGG
This 257-nucleotide ribosomal RNA is filed under the name uncultured bacterium. RNAcentral describes it as "partial 16S ribosomal RNA". It matches the Rfam family "Bacterial small subunit ribosomal RNA", at positions 524 to 776 of the family's 1533-position model. The record is from RNAcentral.